Molecule: ribosomal RNA, 666 nt
Filed under: bacterium enrichment culture clone NCCH3
Lineage: Bacteria
Description: bacterial SSU rRNA
Rfam family: Bacterial small subunit ribosomal RNA
Source: RNAcentral
GUGAGUAACGCGUGGGAACGUACCUUUUGGUUCGGAACAACACAGGGAAACUUGUGCUAAUACCGGAUAAGCCCUUACGGGGAAAGAUUUAUCGCCGAAAGAUCGGCCCGCGUCUGAUUAGCUAGUUGGUGAGGUAACGGCUCACCAAGGCGACGAUCAGUAGCUGGUCUGAGAGGAUGAUCAGCCACAUUGGGACUGAGACACGGCCCAAACUCCUACGGGAGGCAGCAGUGGGGAAUAUUGGACAAUGGGCGCAAGCCUGAUCCAGCCAUGCCGCGUGAGUGAUGAAGGCCCUAGGGUUGUAAAGCUCUUUUGUGCGGGAAGAUAAUGACGGUACCGCAAGAAUAAGCCCCGGCUAACUUCGUGCCAGCAGCCGCGGUAAUACGAAGGGGGCUAGCGUUGCUCGGAAUCACUGGGCGUAAAGGGUGCGUAGGCGGGUCUUUAAGUCAGGGGUGAAAUCCUGGAGCUCAACUCCAGAACUGCCUUUGAUACUGAAGAUCUUGAGUUCGGGAGAGGUGAGUGGAACUGCGAGUGUAGAGGUGAAAUUCGUAGAUAUUCGCAAGAACACCAGUGGCGAAGGCGGCUCACUGGCCCGGUACUGACGCUGAGGCACGAAAGCGUGGGGAGCAAACAGGAUUAGAUACCCUGGUAGUCCACGCCGUAAAC